CCUACGGGAGGCAGCAGUGGGGAAUAUUGGGCAAUGGGCGAAAGCCUGACCCAGCAACGCCGCGUGAAGGAAGAAGGCUUUCGGGUUGUAAACUUCUUUUGACAGGGAAGAGCAGAAGACGGUACCUGUCGAAUAAGCCACGGCUAACUACGUGCCAGCAGCCGCGGUAAUACGUUGGUGGCAAGCGUUGUCCGGAUUUACUGGGUGGAAAGGGCGUGUAGCCGGGCUGACAAGUCAGAUGUGAAAUCCGGGGGCUCAACCCCCGAACUGCAUUUGAAACUGUUGGUCUUGAGUAUCGGAGAGGCAGGCGGAAUUCCUAGUGUAGCGGUGAAAUGCGUAGAUAUUAGGAGGAACACCAGUGGCGAAGGCGGCCUGCUGGACGACAACUGACGGUGAGGCGCGAAAGCGUGGGGAGCAAACAGGAUUAGAUACCCCAGUAGUC
Molecule: ribosomal RNA, 442 nt
Filed under: uncultured bacterium
Lineage: Bacteria
Description: partial 16S ribosomal RNA
Rfam family: Bacterial small subunit ribosomal RNA
Source: RNAcentral